UCCUACGGGGGGCAGCAGUGAGGAAUAUUGGUCAAUGGGCGAGAGCCUGAACCAGCCAAGUCGCGUGAAGGAUGACGGCCCUACGGGUUGUAAACUUCUUUUGUCAGGGAGCAAUUGGGUCCACGCGUGGGCUUAGCGAGAGUACCUGAAGAAAAAGCAUCGGCUAACUCCGUGCCAGCAGCCGCGGUAAUACGGAGGAUGCGAGCGUUAUCCGGAUUUAUUGGGUUUAAAGGGUGCGUAGGCGGAAUAUCAAGUCAGCGGUAAAAAUUCGGGGCUCAACCCCGCCGUGCCGUUGAAACUGAUGU
This 305-nucleotide ribosomal RNA is filed under the name uncultured bacterium. RNAcentral's name for it is "bacterial SSU rRNA". It matches the Rfam family "Bacterial small subunit ribosomal RNA", at positions 337 to 639 of the family's 1533-position model. The record is from RNAcentral.